UCAUAACAUAAAGCCUGUCUGCUACACGUGAAGCUUAUUGCAACGUUGUUUUUUUUUUUUUGGUUGAACACCCACCUUCUUUGACAUAGACAUUGACACAAGCCCAUAACUGUUUUUCGAAGUCCAUAUGAACUGAGAAACACAACUACAACAACGACAAUAAAAAAAGUUUUAAGUCAAGCAACACAGCACAGAGAGAGAUAAUAGAGAAGCAGGAUCAGUGCCAUGGCUCUCUCACCCUGCUUUUCCCCUUUGGUAUUUCUCUUUCUCAUUGUUGGGUGUGUUGCACGGCCUUUCUAUCCACUCCCUAGUAAAGUAGCUGAGGGCACUAGAAAGCCCCUACAAACUUCUCGUCCAUAUAACAUAGCACAUUGAGGUUCAAAUGGAGAGAUUCCUGAAGAAACUGCUCCUGCAUACCAGAGAGCUAUUGAAGAGGGUGCAGACUUCAUUGAAACCGAUAUCCUUUCUUCCAAAGAUGGCGUUCUUAUAUGCUUCCAUGAUGUAACACUUGAUGAUACCACUGAUAUUCUUCAACACAAGGAGUUUGCCAAUUGUAAAAGGACCUAUGAAGUCCAAGGAAACUAUACCACUGGAUUUUUUACUGUUGAUUUCACCAUAAAAGAACUAAAGUCAUUGCGGGUGAAGCAGAGGUACCCAUUUCGGGAUCAACAAUAUGAUGGAAAGUUUACUGUUAUUACCUUUGAAGAGUACAUUUUAAUUGCAUUGGAUGCACCCAGAGUUGUUGGAAUAUACCCGGAGAUUAAAAAUCCAGUCUUUAUCAAUGAGCAUGUGAAGUGGCCGGGUGGUAAGAGAUUUGAGGAUAAGUUUGUGGAGACACUUAAGAAGUAUGGAUACAAGGGUUCAUAUUUGUCAAAAGAGUGGUUGGCACAACCUGCCUUUAUCCAGUCAUUUGCUCCAACCUCACUAAUAUAUGUUUCAAAUCAGACAGACUUGCCCAAGAUCUUCUUAAUUGAUGAGGUUACCAUUCCAACUCAAGACACUAAUCAGUCGUAUUGGGAAAUUACUUCGGAUAGUUACUUUCAGUACAUUAAGCAAUAUGUGGAGGGCAUUGGACCUUGGAAGGAUACAGUGGUUCCUGUAAAAGAUAAUUAUGUGCUAACACCUACUGAUCUUGUUGCCAGAGCACACGCCCAUAACCUACAGGUUCACCCAUACACUUUCCGCAAUGAGAAUAAGUUCUUACACUUUAACUUUCAUCAAGAUCCAUAUCAGGAAUAUGCUUACUGGAUUCACGAGAUAGGAGUUGAUGGAAUCUUUACAGACUUCACAGGAAGCCUCAAUAAUUAUCAGGAAUGGACUUCUCAAUCUUCAGAUGAUAGUGAUAGCAGUGCAUCUAAACUUUUGCAUAAAAUUGCAUUGUUGGUCAAUUCCUAUGAGAGGGUAUGAGGGAACAAAUUGUAUGUAUAAUGUAUCACUAUAUUUUUAUCAAUGCAUAAUGUAUCUAAAUUUUUCAUGGCAAUUACUUUGUACGAUAACAUUAUUGAAUCUGGGUACGAUAACAUUAUUGAAUCUGUUCAAUAAAGGAAAUUUAUGA
This is an RNA transcript of Quercus lobata, 1555 nucleotides long. It is a transcript of the gene named glycerophosphodiester phosphodiesterase GDPD6-like, with no coding region annotated. The record is from RefSeq and is a predicted model, not a curated record. The transcript has 8 exons. NCBI's taxonomy places the organism in Eukaryota, Viridiplantae, Streptophyta, Magnoliopsida, Fagales, Fagaceae.